This 167-nucleotide small RNA is filed under the name Chelonoidis abingdonii (Abingdon island giant tortoise). Its description in RNAcentral is "TUC338 (ENSCABG00000006656.1)". Lineage: Eukaryota; Metazoa; Chordata; Testudines; Testudinidae. The record is from RNAcentral.
UUGACAGCACUAGACAAUGAAGGUUCCUUUAUCCCCCAGAAAACUACCGUGCAGGCAGGCAAACUUCCCCAAAACUGUCCUGCCAAUGUGCUGCUUUGACCUGGAGGGGGAGCACCUUUAUGGUGACAGGAUAAUUUGAUCUCUGUGCCAUUUAAUCCUUAUUCUCA